AUUGAACGCUGGCGGCAGGCCUAACACAUGCAAGUCGAGCGAGAGGCGGACGGGAGAGAAAUGUCUGUGAAACUGCCUGAUGGAGGGGGUAAACUACUGGAAACGGAAGCUAAAACCGCAUACCUUCAGAUGUGUCCAGAGGGGCAUAGCUUGUAGGUGGGGUAAUGGCUCACCCUGGCGACGACCCCUAGCUGGUCUGAGAGGAUGACGGGCAACACGGGAACUGAGACACGGGCCAGACUCCUACGGAAGGCAGCAGUGGGGAAUAUUGCACAAUGGGCGAAAGCCUGAUGCAGCCAGGCCGCGUGUGUGAAGAAGGCCUUCGGGUUGUAAAGCACUUUCAGCGAGGAGGCGUUACUCGCAGAAGAAGCACCGGCUAACUCCGUGCCAGCAGCCGCGGUAAUAC
This 406-nucleotide ribosomal RNA is filed under the name uncultured bacterium. RNAcentral's name for it is "partial 16S ribosomal RNA". It matches the Rfam family "Bacterial small subunit ribosomal RNA", at positions 29 to 526 of the family's 1533-position model. The record is from RNAcentral.